RNAcentral lists this ribosomal RNA (296 nucleotides) under uncultured Symbiodinium. RNAcentral describes it as "partial Bacterial small subunit ribosomal RNA". It matches the Rfam family "Bacterial small subunit ribosomal RNA", at positions 534 to 829 of the family's 1533-position model. The record is from RNAcentral. Lineage: Eukaryota; Dinophyceae; Suessiales; Symbiodiniaceae.
GCAAGCGUUAUUCGGAAUUAUUGGGCGUAAAGAGCGCGUAGGCGGCUAUAUAAGUUAGAUGUGAAAUCCCAAGGCUUAACCUUGGAAGUGCAUUUGAAACUAUACAGCUUGAGUAUGAUAGAGGGAAGUGGAAUUCCUGGUGUAGAGGUGAAAUUCGUAGAUAUCAGGAGGAACACCAGUGGCGAAGGCGACUUCCUGGAUCAAUACUGACGCUGAGGCGCGAAGGCAUGGGUAGCGAACAGGAUUAGAUACCCUGGUAGUCCAUGCCGUAAACGUUGGGCACUAGGUGUGGGGAC